CGCCAGCUCAUCCACCGUCUUGGCGACCUUCUCCAUCGCCGCGCCCGAAUCGAGCUCCGCUCCGCCGGACAGUGACGCCCGCCGGCUCCGCCCGCCCUCCGACGCCGCCGCCUGCCGCUCCACAAACGCGGCGAUGACGCGACGCACGGUGUCGGUGUUCCGGACGUGCUCCCCGGCGCCAUCGAGCGCGACGCCGAGCAGGUCCCCCACGGUGGCCUGGUCCAGCACCGCCGCGACGCGGAGCUCCAGGUCGCGGCACGUCUUGGCGGAGGCCUCGGUGGUGACCGCGGCGUGGAGGAGGCGGCAGAGGAACGCGGCCGGGAUGGGCGCGUCGGCGGCGGAAGGGAGCACGUCCACGA
RNAcentral lists this long non-coding RNA (359 nucleotides) under Setaria italica (foxtail millet). RNAcentral describes it as "long non-coding RNA (SITA_LNC005534)". Lineage: Eukaryota; Viridiplantae; Streptophyta; Magnoliopsida; Poales; Poaceae. The record is from RNAcentral.